AGAGUUUGAUCAUGGCUCAGGACGAACGCUGGCGGCGUGCCUAAUACAUGCAAGUAGAACGCUGAAGAGAGGAGCUUGCUCUUCUUGGAUGAGUUGCGAACGGGUGAGUAACGCGUAGGUAACCUGCCUUGUAGCGGGGGAUAACUAUUGGAAACGAUAGCUAAUACCGCAUAACAAUGGAUGACACAUGUCAUUUAUUUGAAAGGGGCAAUUGCUCCAUCUACAAGAUGGACCUGCGUUGUAUUAGCUAGUAGGUGAGGUAAUGGCUCACCUAGGCGACGAUACAUAGCCGACCUGAGAGGGUGAUCGGCCACACUGGGACUGAGACACGGCCCAGACUCCUACGGGAGGCAGCAGUAGGGAAUCUUCGGCAAUGGGGGCAACCCUGACCGAGCAACGCCGCGUGAGUGAAGAAGGUUUUCGGAUCGUAAAGCUCUGUUGUAAGUCAAGAACGGGUGUGAGAGUGGAAAGUUCACACUGUGACGGUAGCUUACCAGAAAGGGACGGCUAACUACGUGCCAGCAGCCGCGGUAAUACGUAGGUCCCGAGCGUUGUCCGGAUUUAUUGGGCGUAAAGCGAGCGCAGGCGGUUUGAUAAGUCUGAAGUUAAAGGCUGUGGCUCAACCAUAGUUCGCUUUGGAAACUGUCAAACUUGAGUGCAGAAGGGGAGAGUGGAAUUCCAUGUGUAGCGGUGAAAUGCGUAGAUAUAUGGAGGAACACCGGUGGCGAAAGCGGCUCUCUGGUCUGUAACUGACGCUGAGGCUCGAAAGCGUGGGGAGCGAACAGGAUUAGAUACCCUGGUAGUCCACGCCGUAAACGAUGAGUGCUAGGUGUUGGAUCCUUUCCGGGAUUCAGUGACGCAGCUAACGCAUUAAGCACUCCGCCUGGGGA
This 890-nucleotide ribosomal RNA is filed under the name uncultured bacterium. RNAcentral describes it as "bacterial SSU rRNA". It matches the Rfam family "Bacterial small subunit ribosomal RNA", at positions 8 to 879 of the family's 1533-position model. The record is from RNAcentral.